Molecule: transfer RNA, 73 nt
Filed under: Candidatus Pacearchaeota archaeon CG10_big_fil_rev_8_21_14_0_10_35_13
Lineage: Archaea; Nanobdellati
Description: tRNA-Trp
Rfam family: tRNA
About the family: Transfer RNA (tRNA) molecules are approximately 80 nucleotides in length. Their secondary structure includes four short double-helical elements and three loops (D, anti-codon, and T loops).
Source: RNAcentral
GGGUCUGUCGUAGAAUGGUUUAAUACACACGGCUCCAGACCGUGAAAUGGGGGUUCGAUUCCCUCCAGGCCCA